UGAAAAGGGCUCUCAAAAGCUUAAAUGGA
This 29-nucleotide non-coding RNA is filed under the name Mus musculus (house mouse). Lineage: Eukaryota; Metazoa; Chordata; Mammalia; Rodentia; Muridae. The record is from RNAcentral.